Molecule: ribosomal RNA, 520 nt
Filed under: uncultured Glomus
Lineage: Eukaryota; Fungi; Glomeromycota; Glomeromycetes; Glomerales; Glomeraceae
Description: SSU rRNA
Rfam family: Eukaryotic small subunit ribosomal RNA
Source: RNAcentral
AGCAGCCGCGGUAAUUCCAGCUCCAAUAGCGUAUAUUAAAGUUGUUGCAGUUAAAAAGCUCGUAGUUGAAUUUCGGGAUCAGUACGUCGGUCGUGCCUUGGUACGUACUGGCGUCGCUGAUUUCUCCCUUCUGACGAACCGUGAUGCCAUUAAUUUGGUGUUGCGGGGAAUCGGGACUGUUACUUUGAAAAAAUUAGAGUGUUUAAAGCGGGCACGCGCUUGAAUACAUUAGCAUGGAAUAACGAAAUAGGACGUUCGAUCUUAUUUUGUUGGUUUCUAGGAUUGACGUAAUGAUUAAUAGGGAUAGUUGGGGGCAUUAGUAUUCAAUUGUCAGAGGUGAAAUUCUUGGAUUUAUUGAAGACUAACUACUGCGAAAGCAUUUGCCAAGGAUGUUUUCAUUAAUCAAGAACGAAAGUUAGGGGAUCGAAGACGAUCAGAUACCGUCGUAGUCUUAACCAUAAACUAUGCCGACUAGGGAUCGGAUGAUGUUAAUUUUAUAAUGACUCAUUCGGCGCCUUAC